GGUGAACCUGCGGAAGGAUCAUUGUCGAUGCCUCGCA
RNAcentral lists this ribosomal RNA (37 nucleotides) under Lespedeza buergeri. RNAcentral's name for it is "partial 18S ribosomal RNA". The record is from RNAcentral. Lineage: Eukaryota; Viridiplantae; Streptophyta; Magnoliopsida; Fabales; Fabaceae.